GAUAGCAGCCAUAUCACCCUGCAACUCACAACUGGCAACCCACUGAAGCUAAGCAGGUGUGAGCCUGGUCAGUACCUGGAUGGGAGACCUCCUGGGAAAAACUAAGGUUGCUGCUGGAA
Molecule: ribosomal RNA, 119 nt
Organism: Lepisosteus oculatus (spotted gar)
Lineage: Eukaryota; Metazoa; Chordata; Actinopteri; Semionotiformes; Lepisosteidae
Source: Ensembl